GUGGGGAAUCUUGCGCAAUGGGCGAAAGCCUGACGCAGCCAUGCCGUGUGAAUGAUGAAGGUCUUAGGAUUGUAAAAUUCUUUCACCGGGGACGAUAAUGACGGUACCCGGAGAAGAAGCCCCGGCUAACUUCGUGCCAGCAGCCGCGGUAAUACGAAGGGGGCUAGCGUUGCUCGGAAUUACUGGGCGUAAAGGGCGCGUAGGCGGAUCGUUAAGUCAGGGGUGAAAUCCCAGAGCUCAACUCUGGAACUGCCCUUGAUACUGGCGAUCUUGAGUGUGAGAGAGGUAUGUGGAACUCCGAGUGUAGAGGUGAAAUUCGUAGAUAUUCGGAAGAACACCAGUGGCGAAGGCGACAUACUGGCUCAUUACUGACGCUGAGGCGCGAAAGCGUGGGGAGCAAACAGGAUUAGAUACCCUUGUAGUCC
Molecule: ribosomal RNA, 425 nt
Filed under: uncultured bacterium
Lineage: Bacteria
Description: partial 16S ribosomal RNA
Rfam family: Bacterial small subunit ribosomal RNA
Source: RNAcentral